Phacochoerus africanus (Common warthog) is the source of this 545-nucleotide long non-coding RNA. RefSeq lists it as uncharacterized. Lineage: Eukaryota; Metazoa; Chordata; Mammalia; Artiodactyla; Suidae. The record is from RefSeq and is a predicted model, not a curated record. The transcript has 2 exons.
CCCCUUCACCUGCCUUGCUACUGUCUCACACCCUCUGGCUGUAGGAACUGAGCUGUGCUUUCUCUUGCUUUCAUGGGCUCUGCUGCUUGCAGGAUGUGGCUUGGUCCCCUCCCCUUUCUAGCAGGGCGAGGGUGCAGCCUUUUCAGGGGCGGUCUGAGUGUAAAACCUGCCUGCAUCCCACAGAGCGAGCUGGCCUAGGGUGGCAGCCCCCUGUGGCCGCGCGCGGAGGCUGUGUCUUCUCACUUGGGCUCUAAGGGCAGCACAGGGGCCACCCAACCCCCUGUUCACAGCGAAACAGAAAUAAUUUAACAUCGUCGUAGAGGCAGAGCGGGAAGAGAACUGCACGUUCCCGUUUACAACCCUGUACAGGGAUCCGCCAGGACGGCCGCCAAACACCUAAAGCUGCGUCAGAUACAGACACACUGGACCCGAAUGGUCACCACACACGACAUCAUAAAAAAGUGUAUUAGAAAGUCCUGGAAGCAAGACUGCCUGUUAAUAUCUGGUUUCACGUGUUCACAGUGAAUGCUAUUGCACCAACAGCA